RNAcentral lists this ribosomal RNA (785 nucleotides) under uncultured bacterium. RNAcentral's name for it is "bacterial SSU rRNA". It matches the Rfam family "Bacterial small subunit ribosomal RNA", at positions 50 to 829 of the family's 1533-position model. The record is from RNAcentral.
UAUACAUGCAAGUCGAGGGGUAACAGAGAGUGCUUGCACUCUGCUGACGACCGGCGCACGGGUGCGUAACGCGUAUGCAACCUACCUUUUACAGAGGGAUACCCAAGAGAAAUUUUGAAUAAUACCUCAUAAGCUCUAUAUAUAUCAUUAUUAAUAGAGGAAAACUUCGGUGGUAAAAGAUGGGCAUGCGUCCUAUUAGUUAGUUGGUAAGGUAACGGCUUACCAAGACUACGAUAGGUAGGGGUCCUGAGAGGGAGAUCCCCCACACUGGUACUGAGACACGGACCAGACUUCUACGGAAGGCAGCAGUAAGGAAUAUUGGACAAUGGAGGAAACUCUGAUCCAGCCAUGCAGCGUGCAGGAAGAAUGCCCUAUGGGUUGUAAACUGCUUUUAUACAGGAAGAAACUUUUCCACGUGUGGAAAACUGACGGUACUGUACGAAUAAGGAUCGGCUAACUCCGUGCCAGCAGCCGCGGUAAUACGGAGGAUCCAAGCGUUAUCCGGAAUUAUUGGGUUUAAAGGGUCCGCAGGCGGUUUAUUAAGUCAGAGGUGAAAUCCUACCGCUCAACGGUAGAAUUGCCUUUGGUACUGAUAGACUUGAGUUAUUGUGAAGUAGUUAGAAUGUGUGGUGUAGCGGUGAAAUGCAUAGAUAUUACACAGAAUACCAAUUGCGAAGGCAGAUUACUAACAAUACACUGACGCUGAGGGACGAAGCGUGGGUAGCGAACAGGAUUAGAUACCCUGGUAGUCCACGCCGUAAACGAUGGUCACUAGCUGUUUGAUC